GUGCUCACUUCAGCAGCACAUAUACUAAAACUGGAAUGAUACAGAGAUUAGUGUGGCCACUGUACAAGGAUCACACGCAAAUUUGUGGAACAUUCCAUAUAAAA
This is a small nuclear RNA of Sciurus vulgaris (Eurasian red squirrel), 104 nucleotides long. Lineage: Eukaryota; Metazoa; Chordata; Mammalia; Rodentia; Sciuridae. The record is from Ensembl.